This 62-nucleotide transfer RNA is filed under the name Setaphyes kielensis. Its description in RNAcentral is "tRNA-Asp". The record is from RNAcentral. Lineage: Eukaryota; Metazoa; Kinorhyncha; Allomalorhagida; Pycnophyidae.
UAAAUAAUAGUUAAUUUAUAAUACUUGAUUGUCAGCCAAGAGUAAACAUUUGUUUUAUUUAG